UUUAAAAACAACCCUAAUAAAGCUACAACGGCGCAAGUCCUAACAACUAAGCUCCUAGAAAAAAAAGAAUCCGGAUCCCGUUACGCUUCCACCACAAACACCUGGCCUUCCUGGCCGACCUUCUUUUCCAAUAUCUCUGGCGCUUCCACACCCUCCUGCGGCAUUCUCAUCCUAGCAAUCUCAUCAACUCUCAACUCAUCCUUACUCUCAUCAACCUCCAUGAAAGUCCUGUUCAUUCCAGGAGGCGGAGAGACGAGACAAGCCAGAUAAUAAACAAGACCGGAAAUACCAGUACCUGUAAUCCAAGAGAGAUAAUAUACACGCUGGGCCCCUACCGGGACGUAGAUGUUGGGGUUGAUAGAAUUGAUGAAACCGGGUGUACCAAUACCAUCCGCUCUUCUCCGCAGAGUACAAGUCGUUUACACGCAUAUGUCCUCUUCGAACGAACCAAUAGUCGGUGAUCAUUGGACCGGCGAUACAUGAGAGAAGAACACCAUAAGCACUGAGAUAAGUGCUGAAAGUGGAGGAAGAUGUGUAGAGCAACCAUGGGUUCAUGCAGAUACCGAUGAUGGCGGCAAUAUAUCCACCCCUGCGAAUAGAGAGGUAUCGGGGGAAUAGGGCAGUGAGAUCGCAACCAGCAGAGAUGGAGUUGGCAGCAACGUUGAGCAAAAGCCUAUCAUUACGUAUUAGUCAAAGACCAUUAAAAAACUAAUAAGAGCGACAGUUGUUGGUACUCACUGAACGUAGACGAAACCAGCAGAGAUAAAAACAAGUCCCGCUCGUGUAGAUGAGGAGGCGCCGUCAAGCAUUCUGUCCAUGAUCUAUGAUUAAAGGUAAGUACAGAACUACAUGACUUGAAGAUGAGGUUCUUACCUGGACAACAUCCCAGAUCUGAGUACCAAAUUGAGGAGCACUAGCAGAAGCGAUCACGAUACCCAAGAAAGAAGUGAUAGUAAAGCCGAGCGGCAUUGAAAUCAAUUGAGGCCACACGGCAGCACUGGGCUUCUUAGCCCUACUGGCAAAGUCAGGAGCAUUGACUACGAGAGUAAACAUGUUGUUGAAGCAGCUAGAAAUGCUAAUGAGCAUUUGCCAUCCCAAGGCAGAGCCAGACAAGGUGGCAGGCUGCGAGAAGAUUGGACCAAUACCGCCUGCUCGUGUGAUUGACCAUCCAAAGAGAGUAAAGCCCACGAUAGGACCGAUGAUCGCUUUGGCUGCGAAAAGCCAUCGAAGUUUGUGGAUGGGUACCCAGAUUGUAGGUAAAGAAAGGAGCCAAAAUAUUACAAAGGCAAGGACAUAAGCUGUUAAGUCAUGUGACCAACCUGAAGUAGUUUCGGUGCUUGUAGGCAUUAUGUUUUUGAUAUUGGGAUAGCUUGGCCAGAUCGCUCUGAGCAAUACAUGGACACAUUCACCUCCGAGCCAUCCUUGCACGCCCCACCAGAUCGCUAAACGACGAUGAGUUCCUUGGAUUGAAAGGCGGGUUGAGACACGUACCAGCCAUUCCCGCUCGGUUGAGAACAGGCCACAGACUGCCGAAUAAUCCAAACGUGGUACGACAGACAGCAGGGAAGACGAUCCCAUGGACAGCGCCCUAUCGUUCGAUAAGUGCAGUCCAAACCAUAUGAAAGUCGAGACAUACAGGGCGCGCACUAAGCACGAUGAGCGGACCGACGAGGGAGUACCCGAUUAUGACACAGAUGAAGGCUAAGUAUCAUCAGUGCCAUUUCUCAUGCCACUGACAGAGACUUGUGUCUCACCUUGCCACCAAUUAAGACCUGCACUGAUCAUCGACGAAGCAAUAGUAAAUGUAUUUAAGUUGAAACUGUCAGCGAUCCAAAAAGAAGCCUAUCGCAGCAAGUCAGCUACUAUUCCAAUAGCACGAUUGAGAAACUCACAAAAUUCCAACCAUCCCAAGUCUUUUGCUCUUUUUUGACAGGUAAGAGGUCCUCAGUUGCGAGGAACAUCUCUGUACUUGUGAGACCCUCAGCAUGGUUACUCUCAAGCUUCUUCAGGAUCUUCUUGGCUCUUAACCUUGUGGUCAUUUUGCAGAUGCGAAUUGUACGUGUUCGUACCAGAGGUUUUCAAGUUGAGAAUAAACCUCUGAGAUGUUUCCAAGUUCAAGGUGCAAGUUAUGUAUAUAUAUGUA
Molecule: small RNA, 2143 nt
Filed under: Cryptococcus neoformans H99
Lineage: Eukaryota; Fungi; Basidiomycota; Tremellomycetes; Tremellales; Cryptococcaceae
Description: Cryptococcus neoformans var. grubii H99 hypothetical RNA
Source: RNAcentral